Molecule: ribosomal RNA, 407 nt
Filed under: uncultured bacterium
Lineage: Bacteria
Description: partial 16S ribosomal RNA
Rfam family: Bacterial small subunit ribosomal RNA
Source: RNAcentral
AUUGAACGCUGGCGGCAGGCCUAACACAUGCAAGUCGAGCGGAGCGGCGGACGGGUGAGUAAUGUCUGGGAAACAGCCGGAGGGAGGGGGAUAACUACUGGAAACGGGCGCUACAACAGCAUACUAUCAGAUGAGCCUAGGUAGGAGUAGGUAGUUGGUGGGGUAAAGGCCUACAAAGGAGACGAUCCGGAACUGGUCUGAGAGGAUGAUCAGUCACACUGGAACGUAGACACGGUCCAGACUCCUACGGGAGGCAGCAGUUGGGAAUCUUGGACAAUGGGCGAAAGCCUGAUCCAGCCAUGCCGCGUGUGUGAAGAAGGUCUGCGGAUUGUAAAGCACUUUAAGUUGGGAGGCGUUACCAACAGAAUAAGCACCGGCUAACUUCGUGCCAGCAGCCGCGGUAAUUC